GCUCGAUCGUAAGGGAAGACUAUCAUGGCGACGGUGCGAGAUAACCUCGAGCUCUUUCGAACGUUCUUUUAUCCAUUUACUAUACUUUCUAAGAUUUAACUGGUGAUUUACGGAGUAUGUCUAUUGGUGUCGAAACAAUCGGAGAACGAGUAAUACCUACUUAACUCGAAUCGUGCUUUACAGAUAGGAGUAGUUUCAUUCAAGAUGGAGAACAAACGUGAAAAGAAAAUGGAACGAUCUGCGUGCAAGUCCUUAUAUAUAUAUAUAUAUAUAUAUAUAUAUAUAUAUAUAUAUAUAUAUAUAUAACGAAUAACAGGAAGAUUGGUAUGAUCUAAUCAUGGAAUCUACUUCGAGCCCUGAACAAAGCAAACUGAACAACCUUAGUUCGUAAGAUGAUCUUAGAGGGAAGAGAAAGACGAGAAUCCAAUCAAAACCGAAUAGAAGAGGCCAUCGAAUAUCCAACGACUACGUUUGCCUUCUGCGAAGCAAUUAUCCCUUUUGCUAAGAAUGGUCUUAGGGACGUAAUUAAUCUCCUUGGCAAUCAACGUUAACAACACUAUGAACAUUACUCGUUCCAAAAAAUUUCCGAGGAAUACGAAACGAUACGUGUCGGUCUUCUUCCAACAAGAGACUGCUCGCGCUUCGGUAGUUUACUUUAGGUAUAAACACAACGGUUCGGCGGGUAAACGACGAGGUGACGUAGAAAAAAAAA
This is an RNA transcript of Vespa mandarinia (Asian giant hornet), 712 nucleotides long. RefSeq lists it as uncharacterized. The record is from RefSeq and is a predicted model, not a curated record. Lineage: Eukaryota; Metazoa; Arthropoda; Insecta; Hymenoptera; Vespidae.